AACGAACGCUGGCGGCAUGCCUAACACAUGCAAGUCGAACGAGACCUUCGGGUCUAGUGGCGCACGGGUGCGUAACGCGUGGGAACCUGCCCUUAGGUUCGGAAUAACUCCCCGAAAGGGGUGCUAAUACCGGAUAAUGUCUUCGGACCAAAGAUUUAUCGCCUUUGGAUGGGCCCGCGUUGGAUUAGCUAGUUGGUAGGGUAAAAGCCUACCAAGGCGACGAUCCAUAGCUGGUCUGAGAGGAUGAUCAGCCACACUGGGACUGAGACACGGCCCAGACUCCUGCGGGGGGAAGCAGGGGGGAAUAUUGGACAAGGGGCGAAAGCCUGAUCCAGAAAGGCCGGGGGAGGGAGGAAGGCCUUAGGGUUGUAAAGCUCUUUUCCCCGGGAGGAUAAUGAAAGUACCGGGGAAAAAAGCCCCGGCUAACCCCGU
RNAcentral lists this ribosomal RNA (432 nucleotides) under uncultured bacterium. RNAcentral's name for it is "partial 16S ribosomal RNA". It matches the Rfam family "Bacterial small subunit ribosomal RNA", at positions 29 to 506 of the family's 1533-position model. The record is from RNAcentral.